AUUGAACGCUGGCGGCAGGCCUAACACAUGCAAGUCGAGCGGAUGAAGGGAGCUUGCUCCUGGAUUCAGCGUCGGAAGGGUGAGUAAUGCCUAGGAAUCUGCCUGCUAGUGGGGGAUAACGUCCGGAAACGGGCGCUAAUACCGCCUACGUCCUGAGGGAGCAAGUGGGGGUUCUUCGGAACUUAUGCUCUCCUAUGAUCCUAGGCCGGGUUAACUAGUUGGUGGGGUAAAGGCCUACCAAGGCGACUAUUCGCAACUGGUCAGAGAGAGUGGUCGGUCACACUGGAGGGUGGACACGGUCCAGACUACUACGGGAGGCACCAGAGGGGAAUAUUGGACAGUGGGCGAAAACCUUGUCCAGCCAUGCCGCGUGUGUGAAGAAGGUGUUCGGAUUGGGAAGCACUUUAAGUUGGGAGAAAGGGCAGUAAGUUAAUACCUUGCGGUUUUGACGUUACCAACAGAAUAAGCACCGGCUAACUUCGUG
RNAcentral lists this ribosomal RNA (484 nucleotides) under uncultured bacterium. Its description in RNAcentral is "partial 16S ribosomal RNA". It matches the Rfam family "Bacterial small subunit ribosomal RNA", at positions 30 to 507 of the family's 1533-position model. The record is from RNAcentral.